RNAcentral lists this ribosomal RNA (253 nucleotides) under uncultured bacterium. RNAcentral describes it as "partial 16S ribosomal RNA". It matches the Rfam family "Bacterial small subunit ribosomal RNA", at positions 524 to 776 of the family's 1533-position model. The record is from RNAcentral.
UACAGAGGUGGCAAGCGUUGUUCGGAAUUACUGGGCGUAAAGGGCGUGUAGGCGGCCUUCUAAGUCAGACGUGAAAUCCCCCGGCUUAACCUGGGAACUGCGUCUGAUACUGGGAGGCUUGAGUAUGGGAGAGGGAUGUAGAAUUCCAGGUGUAGCGGUGAAAUGCGUAGAUAUCUGGAGGAAUACCGGUGGCGAAGGCGGCAUCCUGGUCCGUGACUGACGCUGAGGCGCGAAAGCGUGGGGAGCAAACAGG